RNAcentral lists this ribosomal RNA (1041 nucleotides) under Elysia cornigera. RNAcentral's name for it is "large subunit ribosomal RNA". It matches the Rfam family "Archaeal large subunit ribosomal RNA", at positions 671 to 2780 of the family's 2987-position model. Lineage: Eukaryota; Metazoa; Mollusca; Gastropoda; Plakobranchidae. The record is from RNAcentral.
AAAUAUUUAUAUUUGUAGCUUAUUUUCAGUUUAACAGAAAUGGAGAGUCUAAGGUAAGUAAAGGUUUCUAUCCUUUUUGCAUAACGGAUAAACUAUAAUUAAUCUCUAAUAAAGAGAUUUCCCGAAAGUAGAAGAUCUAAGCUAGCUCCCAUUUUAGUUGGAUAACCAUUAUGUUGAAUUAUAAUAUGAAGAAGUUAGCUUAGGGGUGAAAAACCUACAAUUUUACUGAUAUCUGGAUACUAAAUAAAAGUAUUAAGUACUUUACACAGCUAUAGAGCAUUAAGGCUUUAUAGAAUAAGAAUCAUUAUUAUAUUUAAUAAUAUAGCUAGGGCCAAUAACCCUUGCUUAUUUUAUAAGUUAAAAUUAAUCUUGUUUGACAUCUUUCUCCUGUUUAGUAGUAAGUUUAAACUAAAAUAAUCCAUGGCAGCUGAGAAUAUUGUAGGAGAUCUUCUAGAAAGAUAUUAUAAGAAAGGAACUCGGCAAACCCGUGCCUUAACUGUUUACCAAAAACAUAGUCUUAAGAAACUAUUUAAGAUAAUGCCUGCCCAGUGCUUGUAGUAAACGGCCGCAGUACCUUGACUGUGCUAAGGUAGCAUAAUCAGUUGGCUUUUAAAUGGAGUCGGGAAUGAAUGGAUUUAUAGGGCACCGCUGUCUCUUAUAUACUUUAUUGAACUUACUAAUUAGGUGAAAAUGCCUAAAACUAGAAAAAAGACGAGAAGACCCUAGGAGUUUUGACAAAUUUUUAAAUAAUUUAACUACUGUUUUUGUUGGGGCGACAAAGGAUUAGAUAUACAACUUCCUUUAAUCAAUUUGCCGACUUUGUAUGUGAAAUUAAACUACCCUAGGGAUAACAGCGUAAUUCUUUUAGAGCUUGCGACCUCGAUGUUGGACUAGGAAUUCGUUUGGCUAGCCGCCAAUUUGCAUUGUUCUGUUCGAACUUAACUUCCUACAUGAUCUGAGUUCAGACCGGCGUAAGCCAGGUCAGAUUCUAUCUUUUUAAUAUUAUUUUUAGUACGAAAGGAAUUAAAUAAUUUACUUUGU